Molecule: ribosomal RNA, 433 nt
Filed under: uncultured bacterium
Lineage: Bacteria
Description: partial 16S ribosomal RNA
Rfam family: Bacterial small subunit ribosomal RNA
Source: RNAcentral
AACGAACGCUGGCGGCAUGCCUAACACAUGCGAGUCGAACGAGACCUUCGGGUCUAGUGGCGCACGGGUGCGUAACGCGUGGGAACCUGCCCUUAGGUUCGGAAUAACUCCCCGAAAGGGGUGCUAAUACCGGAUAAUGUCUUCGGACCAAAGAUUUAUCGCCUUUGGAUGGGCCCGCGUUGGAUUAGCUAGUUGGUAGGGUAAAAGCCUACCAAGGCGACGAUCCAUAGCUGGUCUGAGAGGAUGAUCAGCCACACUGGGACUGAGACACGGCCCAGACUCCUACGGGAGGCAGCAGUGGGGAAUAUCGGACAAUGGGCGAAAGCCUGAUCCAGCAAUGCCGCGUGAGUGAUGAAGGCCUUAGGGUUGUAAAGCUCUUUUACCCGGGAUGAUAAUGACAGUACCGGGAGAAUAAGCGCCGGCUAACUCCGUG